This 73-nucleotide transfer RNA is filed under the name Trichonephila inaurata madagascariensis. It matches the Rfam family "tRNA". Rfam says of the family: Transfer RNA (tRNA) molecules are approximately 80 nucleotides in length. Their secondary structure includes four short double-helical elements and three loops (D, anti-codon, and T loops). Lineage: Eukaryota; Metazoa; Arthropoda; Arachnida; Araneae; Nephilidae. The record is from Rfam by way of RNAcentral.
AUCCCUGUAGCGCAAUGGACAGCGCGUUGGACUUCUAAUCUAAAGAUCGUGGGUUCGAAUCCAACCUGGGAUG